RNAcentral lists this ribosomal RNA (429 nucleotides) under Chloroflexota bacterium. RNAcentral's name for it is "Chloroflexi bacterium partial 16S ribosomal RNA". It matches the Rfam family "Bacterial small subunit ribosomal RNA", at positions 355 to 776 of the family's 1533-position model. Lineage: Bacteria; Bacillati; Chloroflexota. The record is from RNAcentral.
UGGGGAAUAUUGCACAAUGGGCGCAAGCCUGAUGCAGCCAUGCCGCGUGUGUGAAGAAGGCCUUCGGGUUGUAAAGCACUUUCAGCGGGGAGGAAGGCGUUAAGGUUAAUAACCUUGGCGAUUGACGUUACCCGCAGAAGAAGCACCGGCUAACUCCGUGCCAGCAGCCGCGGUAAUACGGAGGGUGCAAGCGUUAAUCGGAAUUACUGGGCGUAAAGCGCACGCAGGCGGUCUGUCAAGUCGGAUGUGAAAUCCCCGGGCUCAACCUGGGAACUGCAUUCGAAACUGGCAGGCUAGAGUCUUGUAGAGGGGGGUAGAAUUCCAGGUGUAGCGGUGAAAUGCGUAGAGAUCUGGAGGAAUACCGGUGGCGAAGGCUGCCCCCUGGACAAAGACUGACGCUCAGGUGCGAAAGCGUGGGGAGCAAACAGG